Long non-coding RNA from Brassica napus (rape), 3321 nucleotides. RefSeq lists it as uncharacterized. The record is from RefSeq and is a predicted model, not a curated record. The transcript has 3 exons. Lineage: Eukaryota; Viridiplantae; Streptophyta; Magnoliopsida; Brassicales; Brassicaceae.
UUUUUGAAAUAGACUUGAGUUUAGAAAAUAUAACCGUUACAAAAGCGCGUGUUUAUUUAUUAUUUUUUGAACUAACAAAAGCGCGUGUUAUCAAACGUAACAGCAAAACGUAGUUUUUUCUCCAACUUAAUUUUCAGUUUCCACAGUUUAAACAUUCUAUAUUUCUCUCUCUCUCUCUCUCUCUCUCUCUCUCUCUGGAUCGACUCUUCGAGGAUUUGCAAAAACGGAAGAUUCGAAGAGUUUUUUGGAUUAGAAAGUCAGUAAGUGUUUCAUCUGAUGUAAUUUGUGUAAGGAUUUCCAAUUUUCCUGCCUGAAAUCGAUACGAUGGGUUUAGGAUUUGCUAGUUCCUCACUGGUCUAUGUUAAUUAGGGUAUUGUGUAAAUCGUUCUAAUGUUGCAGUGAUCUUUUGGUGUAGGGUUUCCUUUUGAAGUGAAGCUUCUUGACUCACCAUCGUCCAAGCCUAAUUUAGGAACAUUCAUGGAACCAGUGAGAUCAAGUGUUAGAGAGAGAUGAACGUGAUGGAUAUACAACUUGAUGAUAAUAUCGCUUGCAAAUCAUGAGAUGCAUUGGUUAGAGGACAAAAGUCACUGGCCUUCCUUUUGGCUGUCUACUGCUGCUAACUUUCGAGGUAAAUUCCUUGUCUAUUAAAUUAGCUUCACGUUUGUUGAUUUUUUGUCUUCAGAGGAUGGAAUCGAAUGAGAACAAAGUCGAAUGUAUAUGUUCAGUUCUCUUCGAUAAUGAUGUCUUAGGAUUUUGAAACCCAAAAAGGUCAUAGGCAACCACUAAUCUUAUAGUGUGUUUGUAUCAGAGAUUCUUGGUUUGGUACAUUGUUGCCUCGGAAACUAGACCCAUAAGGAAUCUUGGUUGGUAGUGCGUGUCUAAAGAGGGACAUUAUGGGAUGGAUAAUAAGAGUCUUAAGAAAAAGACUAUAUGGGAUCUGUUUUUGAUUAGGUGGAGGAUAACGAGGGUUAAGAAGUCUUUGUAAUAAAGAUUAUGAAUCUCAAACAGAUCCCGUAUAAUCUUGUUUCAGUACAUUGUUGCCUCAGAAACUAGACCCAUAAGGAAUCUUGGUUGGUAGUGCAUGUCUAAAGAGGGAUAUUAUGGGAUGAAUAAUAAGAGUCUUAAGAAAAAGUCUAUAUGAGAUCUGUUUUUGAUUAGGUGGAGGAUAACGAGGGUUAAGAAGUCUUUGUAAUAAAGAUUAUGAAUCUCAAACAGAUCCCGUAUAAUCUUGUUUCAGUACAUUGUUGCCUCAGAAACUAGACCCAUAAGGAAUCUUGGUUGGUAGUGCAUGUCUAAAGAGGGACAUUAUGGGAUGGAUAAUAAGAGUCUUAAGAAAAAGACUAUAUGGGAUCUGUUUUUGAUUAGGUGGAGGAUAACGAGGGUUAAGAAGUCUUUGUAAUAAAGAUUAUGAAUCUCAAACAGAUCCCGUAUAAUCAUGCUUACAAGUCUUUAGGCAAAAAAGACUCUAUGGGAAUGGAAAAAGAUAUGACCAACGGCUUAGAAACAAAGUCCUUAGAUGGUAAAAGCGACUAAGGGCUUAAUAAGACUUGUUGGAUGGGGAAAAAAAGACCAACUUUUCAAAUAAGUCUUAAGACAAAGACUGAAAUAAAAAGCCAGAAUCCUUGUUUUCGCUACCCAUGGCUUACAAAAAGAUGUCUAGACAAAGAUCACAUGUGCCUGUUUUUAGACACCUAAGGACUAAUGGCUGAAACAAUACAUGUUGGAUGGAAUAAAAGUACAAAAACGGCUUAAAGAAGUCUAGAAGGCUUACAAAUCUCUAGAAAAUGACCAGAUUGGUCGAUACUGGAUGGAAACAAUAUUAACCAGCAGCUUAUUUUUGCUACCCACGGCUUACAAAAAGGUGUCUAGACAAAGACCAUAUGUGUCUGUUUUUAGACCCCUAAGGACUGAUGGCUAAAACAAUACAUGUUGGAUGGGGAAAAAGUACAAACGGCUUAAAGAAGUCUAGAAGGCUUACAAAUCUCUAGACAAAUACCAGAUUGGUCAAUGCUGGAUGGAAACAAUUACCAGCAGCUUAAAAGAAAGUACUUAGAUGGAAAGACGGCUAAUGACAUAAUUUUAAUUCUUGGUGGAUGGGGAAAAGACCAACAACAUCUCAAAUAAAUCUUAAGACAAAGACUGAAAUGAAAAGCCACAUUCCUCAUUUUUGCUACCCACGGCUUACAAAAGGUGACUAGACAAAGGUGUGUCUGUUUAUAGACAUGCUAGAUGGGAAAGCCACCAGUCGCUUAGUAAAAAGCCCUUACUUCUUAGAUGAAAAAUGACUAAUGGCUGAAACAAUACUUGUCGGAUGGAAAAAACGUACAAAAGGCUAAAGAAGUGUAGACGGCUUAAAAAUCUCUAGGCAAAGACAAAGCUUAGACAAAGACCAGAUUGGUGAUAGACAUGCUGGAUGGAAACAAUGACCAACAGCUUAGAAGAAAGUCUGUAGAUGGUAAAAUGGCUAAUGACAUAAUUAUAACACUUUUUGGAUGGGGAAAAUACCAACAUCUCAAAUAAGUCUUAAGACAAAGACUGAAAUGAAAAGCCACAUUCCUAACUUUUGCUACCCACGACUUAUACAAGGGGCUUAGACAAAGACAUAAGUCCUCUAGAAAAGACCAGAUGAAUCAGGUUUUACACAUUAGAAGAAAGUCCUUGAGUGACUAAUGACUUAAUUUUAACACUUGAUGGAUGGGAACAAAAAUAACAACAAAUGGCUUGAAGAAGUCUAAACGAAAGACAAUGAACCAAAAGGCAUAAAGAACACCAACGACUGACAAAGUCUUAAAUAAGGAGUCUUAAGACAAGACUAUAUAGGAUCUGUUAUUGAUUAUUUGGAUGGAGUGGAGGAUAACAAGGAUUAAUAAAGCCUUUAAGUAAAGACUAUGAAUCUGAAACAGAUCCCGUAUAGUCAUGCUUACAAGUUCGUAGAUGGAAAAAACGACUAAGGGAUAGAAGCAGACUUGUUGGAUGGAAAAAAAACGAACAACAUGUCAAUUAAGUCUUUAAGACAAAGACUGAAAUGAAAAGCCAGAUUCCUUACUUUUUGUUGGGUUUCCCUCCUUAAGCCCAAAACUAAUCAAAUCAUAAUCAAGCCUUAGCCCAAGAAGAAGAAGUAUCUAGAGGAAGAAGAAGAGUGUGGAAGAAGAAGUGUGUAGAAGAUGGAGAAGUCUCUAGAAUUAGCUUGUAGUUACUCUUCCACUAGUAUAAAUAGGAGUGUAGAGCUCACUUGUAAAAUCAUCCAAGAAUCAAGAAAAGUAAUAGAAAGAAAACAUUUCAUAAAGAGUUCAAAAAGUUUCUAAGAUAUCUCCAAACAAA